GACACAACUCCACAUGACUCAGAAGCCCUUCUUAAAAUAAGACCAGACCACAUUCAUGGAGGCUGAGUCACCUCUAACCUUCCAAACUUGUGUCUUACCAAGAAUGAAAGGCAACCUAUGUAAAAACUAUGGGCUUUCUAGUAUAAAUAAAAACUACUCAUCUCCAGAAAAUAAACAAUGACUGCUAAGAUGAUUGAAAAAAGAAAGGAGAAGAAAGUAGCUUGUAAAAGCGUGUGAAAUGCAUUCACGUUGGAAUCUCCUACAGGCACUUCAGGUCUUCAGACUGUAAACAUUUUAAGUGUGAUUGCUGUGAAUGAAGGAAACCCAGAGCCAUCAUGACAAGCCUAAACUCAAAGGGGACUGAUUUCUUCUACACUGAAUGUUUCAUUAGUGACAGGGCCCAGAUAAUAAAGAAUUGUGCUCACUUCCUGUGAGUGAUGGCUUUCCCUCAAUUGUAUGCUGAGUAACAUUUACAGUAUUCAUUUUUAAGCACCCAUCUUCCUGGGAGCCCUAUUUCCCCUAAGCUUUCAAUUGAUCCUCCUAAGAGCAGAGAUCACUUAGGCACUGAGCUAUGCAGCUGCUGCCUGAGUCUCCUGGACGCCUGCCCUCACCUCCAGCCACAUGAAAAACAUUCAAGCUUUAACUUCAGAAAUGUUCUCUAACCCACUCCCAGACACCCAACUGAUUAAAUCAUAGAUUAGAGGAAAAAAUUCUUGCCUGAAAUUGUCAUCUUGCACGUAUGCUGAUGUCCAGAAGGACACAUCCUGGUGGGAAGUGACUGCAUGUUUUGUUCAUAUUACAAGUCCUGUUGACAAAAGAGAAUAAUACAGGUGUCCUCCUGAAACUGUCACCACAGUGACCUUCCUCAGUCAAAAAGAAAUAUAAAUAUUAUUGUGUUUCUCGUGUCUGAGGCACCUCUGAAAGCAUUUAUCUUUUCAGAGAGUUCAGCACUUCAUCUCACGGGUUAAUUAAACCAACCUGUAGUGGCAAAGUUUAGUGGUAGUGAAAAUAAACAUAAUCCUCUUUCUGUUGCCCAACCUUUCAGUUUCAUUUUGUAAUUUUUCAAUACAGGGGCACAAUAAGUGAUAAUCCUGGAUUCCAAAUGAUUUCCACUUCUUUCUCUGCCACCUUCCCUGCCCCAACACCUGCCAUCCCUCAUUUACACAAUUCAAGUAAUCAAGGGGCAGUUUGGCUCCCUUUUUCUGGAGGCAAACUUUUGCAGAGUUUUAACUUACUCAGUGGGAAGAAAAGCCCCCAAAACACUGAAGCAUACCAAGCAAAUAAAUAAAUAAAUGCACAAAGGCUCCCUGCGGUUGUCUGACGAGGAUACUGGAGCAAGCAGCCUGAAGAACAAACGUCUGACUGUUGAAACAGCGAGACAGGAAUAAACCCAUGGGGCCACAUCUGGGAGUGUGAGUGUGUGAAUGGAACUAAGCUGGUCUCCCACACAACAGGAAUUCCACCAAAAGUAUGCGCUCUGUAUGGGAGGACAGAAAAAAAAUGUGUUUAAAAUAUCACUAAGGAAACCCAGAUACAUUAUCUCUGCCAGACUACAGAAGACAGUACAGUUAGUGCUUGUCUCAAAAUGACAGAAACAGAGAACAUGCUUUGAUGAUGUCGAAGAUGCAGGAAAAUAGAAAAAUAAAAACGGUGGAAAGAUUUUUUUUUAAUGCCCUAAAAUGAGCAAGACGCCUCCCUUUUCAUAGCACCAGGAGACAUUUCCAUUGCUUUUUUUUCAUGCUUGUGGCUUUUUGAGGGCAAAGAGUAAGUGAAAUCCAAUAAUUUGGUCUUUCUGCUCCAAAGUUUUGGCUGCCAUAAACUUAUUGUUCGAAUAUCAGAAUGGUUGUUCCUGCUUUGACGCCUGUGAAACAAUUUGUUUCAAUAUCAUAGCACAGUUUUAAAAGUAUGUUUUGACUCCAGAAAUAUGUUUGACCUCAGAAUUUUGAAAGCGUGUUUUGACCUUUAAACUCUUACUUCAAGAAGACAUAUGUGUGCAUGUGUGUGUUUGUAGGGUGUGUGUGUGUGUCUUGUAGAAUCUCACAUUUUAUUCAGUAGCUUAGCUCCAUUUCAAUGCCAGUUAAAUUUUAGCAUUAUAAUAAUACAAUGAAUUACUCUCUAAAAAUAGGUUGAAAUGUAUUUCUAUUUGUGAAGUUUAGGCAAAUGACACCAUCUGCAAUAUCCUUUAACAGAUUAGCUAUUGUAAAGGCAUCAUCUUUAGGAAUAAUACUUUUCUGCAUCAUAAUAAUUUCCUGUUAUUCCUAAGGCAAGUGCUGGAUGAUUGUUGUUUCAGUGUGGAUCAGCCUGACUUCAAUCCAUCUGUGCUUCCCAGGGCCGACUCCUGAAUUCCUCCUCCAUGCCAUCAUACCUUAUUGGCUCUCCUGCUGUUACGUUCAGUCAUAAUGUUAAAAACUCAGACUAUUAAAAUGUAAAGAUAUGAAUUCUUUUUGAAAUUGUCAACAUGGAAGAGUCUAUCUACAGUCUGCUUUUAAUUUAGCCGCAAAAUGACUUAGCUGAUGCAACAAUUUCACAUGCUGAGGAAGAGUUUUCGAUUGCCGAAUUAGUGUGAUAAAGUGAUGGUGAGGUUUUCUGUUGACUCUGGAAGCAACAACAAAAAUGGUGGUGCUCUUCUCCAUACCCAUGUUCAUAGAUAUAUCGUUACAGAUGACACUCAAACUUUGAUUUUUUUUCUUUUUUGGCUGACUGCUUGAAACACAUGUAGCCCCAGGAAACAAGUAGAGCCACCCCAGGGAACUAAAAAACAAGUGAGUAACCGAAGACUCUAAACCAUGUGCAGUAGAAAUCCUUGACUCUUGUUACAGAGAUGCCUGGAGGUUAAUCCACAUGACAGGGAUGAAUUAUCUAUUGAUGGGAUAUUUUUAAAAUAUCACCCAAAAGUUUGUAAGCAUAUACAUAAAAUUAAUUCAAAUAAUUUAAUGUGAAAGCUGAAGAAUGAAUCAGUAAAUUUUAAGAAAAAAGUAAACCCAGAUAAUAAGACAAAUUGUAGAUAAGAACAAUCACAAAUUGUUGAUUCUAACAUGCAGUUUUCUACUGCUUAAAACCCUUUGAAGUCUUAACCAAAUACACUGUCACCAUUUUUAUAAACUCAUUUAUUGUGAACCAUUUAUUAAUUGAUACACAAGCACACACUUUUUAGAGGUAGAUAUUGCAAUAAAUAAUUCUGACACUUUAGUUAACAGUUUAAUCAACUAAAAGAUAAAUUCCCGACAAAUGUGUUAAAUGACAAAUUUUAUUUUUCAUCAUAACCCACGUUUGAGUCUACAGGUGGUAGUUACAAUAUCUAAAGAGAAAUUUAUAUCAUAUGUCACUGGAUAAAACAAGAGGCAUGGUCUGACUUUGGGAAAGGCUGAAUAUAUAGCACAGACAGGCACUUUUUAAUGGGCUUUUGCAGGCCUCAAUAAUCAUUUUCCAAAUACAUUUGCAAUAAGUUUCAAAUAACACACUUCAAAUUAAAGAUCAUGUAGAUUCAAAUGUUUUACUACCAAUAUUUAUCCAUUUACAUACCAUAAAAUUGCAAAAUUGAACAUUCGUACAAAAGCAUUUUAAAAUGCCCCUGACUAAAAUAAUAUUUUCUGCAAAAAUACAAGUCAUAGACUCUUAAGGACCCUGACAAUUUUUUUUCUGCAUUAGAACACAAGGAACACAGAAAGGUAUAAGCACAACAAAAAUAUCAUCAAUAGAUUCUGUUAUUCUACUUAAGGCCAAACCAAUUCUCAAGCUAAAUUACACUGCAGAUAAUUCGGAAUUAAACAGGCUUUUGUUUGCCCAGCUCUCCCACCUUCCACCCAAGUUCUUGAUGUUUCAAGUUUUUCUAUUUUUAUAUCUGGUAUAUGGGGAUUUUUAUAUGAGUAACUAUUCUUGUUAUAAAAUA
RNAcentral lists this long non-coding RNA (3889 nucleotides) under Homo sapiens (human). RNAcentral describes it as "HSALNT0355900". Lineage: Eukaryota; Metazoa; Chordata; Mammalia; Primates; Hominidae. The record is from RNAcentral.